This 480-nucleotide long non-coding RNA is filed under the name Equus caballus (horse). RNAcentral's name for it is "lncRNA (ENSECAG00000050267.1)". The record is from RNAcentral. Lineage: Eukaryota; Metazoa; Chordata; Mammalia; Perissodactyla; Equidae.
CUAACAUCCAAGCCCAUCUUCCUCUACUUUAUAUGUGGGACGCCUACCACAGCAUAGUGUGCCAAGCGGUGCCAUGUCUGCAACCGGGAUCCGAACCCGCGAACCCUGGGCCGCCAAAGUGGAACGUGCUCACUUAACCGCUGCACCACCAGGCCAGCCCCCUGCAAAAUGCGUAUUCUGUGCAUGAUGCACCAUUUGCUCCUGCGAGCUACCCCGUACUCAGGAGAGCCUUAUUUUGCCUGUUAAACAGUUAGGUCCCUCUGUCUGCAAGGUCCAUCCUCUCCCACUGGGAAGGAGACCCUCGAGGAAGGUCGCUUGAUGGGUCUUAUUCACAGGUUUCAAUAUUUGUCGCUGUAGUAAUGUACUCUGAUAAUCUUUUAACUAAAGUGGCCUUUUAAAUCACUUCUUGUUUGUUUAGAGGUGUCUCGGACAUAAUUCCCACAACGAGAAUGAAUAACCAGCAUAAAUAGUUACACUGUG